UAAAUCUUUAUUAAAGCACUGGAUAAAUAUUAUGUUAUUAUUCAUUAUUUGGAUUUAACUAGGUGGCUCAGUGGAUAGAGAGCCAGCCAUGGAGAAGGGAAGUCCUGGCUUCUGGUCUCAAACACUUCCUGGUGGUGUGACCCUGGACAAGUCACUUGACUCCCAUUGCCUAGUCCUUACUCACCUUCUGCCUUGGAACUAAUAUGCAGUAUUGAUUCUUAGAUGGAAGUUCUUGGCUGUCUGUAGGAACAAUCUCAAAAUCUUCACUUUCCUUUGUGCUACCCAAAACAGCCUCGGAACCAGUGUGUACAUUCUUUGUAGGAAGCAUUUUGUUUUUGAAAUUUCAACUGGUUCUAAUCAAGUUUCAUGUUGACUUUAAUCUUUGGAUUACAACAAAUUGAUGUACUUGAAUGUGCACAGAGUGGUGAUUCAGCCAAGCAUUCUGGGAAAGUCAGUAAGGAGAUUGUCCGAAAAUAUUGUCAUCAGGACCAGCAGAUUUCCCACACCCAGAAAAACACAUAUCCUUGAAGUAUUAAACAUAAGUAGUUAUCUUAAAUACAGUUAUCUUAAAUACAAAAAUAAAUACUUUAUUCUAGUCAAUUCCUCUAAGACUCUCAUCACUUCUACUUUAGCAAUGUGUUUCCUUAGGUCUGGAAUAGCAGUCUUUCAUUUAACAUUCUGUCUUUUGUGAUGUAGAUGUCAUGAAAAGGAAUUAAUUUUAGAAAAAGGACAUUUCAGGGGGCAGAGCCAAGAUGGUAGAGUACAGGCAGCAAGUCAGUUGAAUUUCCCCCAUAUUCCUCUUCAAAAAAAUAUUAAAAUAAAGCCUCAAAUCAAAUUUUGAAGCA
RNAcentral lists this long non-coding RNA (845 nucleotides) under Monodelphis domestica (gray short-tailed opossum). RNAcentral describes it as "lncRNA (ENSMODG00000031371.2)". Lineage: Eukaryota; Metazoa; Chordata; Mammalia; Didelphimorphia; Didelphidae. The record is from RNAcentral.